UCCCAUAUUGUCUAGGGGUUAGGAUACAUGGCUCUCAACCAGGAGGCCCGGGUUCAAUUCCCGGUAUAGGAA
This 72-nucleotide transfer RNA is filed under the name Daphnia pulex (common water flea). It matches the Rfam family "tRNA". Rfam says of the family: Transfer RNA (tRNA) molecules are approximately 80 nucleotides in length. Their secondary structure includes four short double-helical elements and three loops (D, anti-codon, and T loops). The record is from Rfam by way of RNAcentral. Lineage: Eukaryota; Metazoa; Arthropoda; Branchiopoda; Diplostraca; Daphniidae.